This 73-nucleotide transfer RNA is filed under the name Cordylochernes scorpioides. Its description in RNAcentral is "tRNA-Thr". It matches the Rfam family "tRNA". Rfam says of the family: Transfer RNA (tRNA) molecules are approximately 80 nucleotides in length. The record is from RNAcentral. Lineage: Eukaryota; Metazoa; Arthropoda; Arachnida; Pseudoscorpiones; Chernetidae.
UCCAGGGUAGCCGAGUGUACGGGGCACCUGCCCGGUAAGCGGAAGGGUGUGGGUUCGAUUCCCGCCCCUGGAC